RNAcentral lists this ribosomal RNA (253 nucleotides) under uncultured bacterium. Its description in RNAcentral is "partial 16S ribosomal RNA". It matches the Rfam family "Bacterial small subunit ribosomal RNA", at positions 524 to 776 of the family's 1533-position model. The record is from RNAcentral.
GACGAACUGUCCUAACGUUGUUCGGAAUCACUGGGCUUAAAGGGCGCGUAGGCGGUCCGACAAGUCAGGGGUGAAAUCCUGCAGCUUAACUGCAGAAGUGCCUUUGAUACUGUCGGUCUCGAGGGAGAUAGGGGUGUGCGGAACUCACAGUGGAGCGGUGAAAUGCGUUGAUAUUGUGAGGAACGCCGGAGGCGAAAGCGGCGCACUGGAUCUCUUCUGACGCUGAGGCGCGAAAGCUAGGGGAGCAAACGGG